This 253-nucleotide ribosomal RNA is filed under the name uncultured bacterium. RNAcentral describes it as "partial 16S ribosomal RNA". It matches the Rfam family "Bacterial small subunit ribosomal RNA", at positions 524 to 776 of the family's 1533-position model. The record is from RNAcentral.
UACGUAGGUGGCGAGCGUUAUUCGGAUUUACUGGGCGUAAAGGGUCCGCAGGGGGUUUGCCAAGUCUGAUGUGAAAUCCUGAGGCUCAACCUUGGAACUGCAUUGGAAACUGGCGAACUAGAGUCUGCGAGGGGUGAGCGGAAUUCCUGGUGUAGCGGUGGAAUGCGUAGAUAUCAGGAAGAACACCGAUGGCGAAGGCGGCUCACUGGCGCAGUACUGACCCUCAUGGACGAAAGCGUGGGUAGCGAACAGG